CCGGGGGCAAGAGGUUCGACUCGAGCGAAGCGAGAGAACGUUGCGUCAGCAACGGCCCGCAGGGCGAGCCACGCAGUGGCGAGUCAUCCUCUAUCACCGACCA
Molecule: small RNA, 103 nt
Filed under: Salmonella enterica
Lineage: Bacteria; Pseudomonadati; Pseudomonadota; Gammaproteobacteria; Enterobacterales; Enterobacteriaceae
Also listed under: 2 other names
Description: partial RtT sRNA
Rfam family: RtT RNA
About the family: This family represents a bacterial cis-regulatory element known as RtT RNA. The exact function of RtT is unknown although it is thought that it may be involved in changing the cellular response in relation to amino acid starvation.
Source: RNAcentral